GUGCCAGCAGCCGCGGUAAUACGUAGGUGGCAAGCGUUGUCCGGAUUUAUUGGGCGUAAAGCGAGCGCAGGGGGUUUCUUAAGUCUGAUGUGAAAGCCCCCGGCUCAACCGGGGAGGGUCAUUGGAAACUGGGAGACUUGAGUGCAGAAGAGGAGAGUGGAAUUCCAUGUGUAGCGGUGAAAUGCGUAGAUAUAUGGAGGAACACCAGUGGCGAAGGCGGCUCUCUGGUCUGUAACUGACGCUGAGGCUCGAAAGCGUGGGGAGCGAACAGGAUUAGAUACCCUGGUAGUCCACGCCGUAAACGAUGAGUGCUAAGUGUUGGAGGGUUUCCGCCCUUCAGUGCUGCAGCAAACGCAUUAAGCACUCCGCCUGGGGAGUACGACCGCAAGGUUGAAACUCAAAGGAAUUGACGGGGGCCCGCACAAGCGGUGGAGCACGUGGUUUAAUUCGAUGCAACGCGAAGAACCUUACCUACUCUUGACAUCCACGGAAUUUAGCAGAGAUGCUUUAGUGCCUUCGGGAACCGUGAGACAGGUGCUGCAUGGCUGUCGUCAGCUCGUGUUGUGAAAUGUUGGGUUAAGUCCCGCAACGAGCGCAACCCUUAUCCUUUGUUGCCAGCGGUCCGGCCGGGAACUCAAAGGAGACUGCCAGUGAUAAACUGGAGGAAGGUGGGGAUGACGUCAAGUCAUCAUGGCCCUUACGAGUAGGGCUACACACGUGCUACAAUGGCGCAUACAAAGAGAAGCGAACUCGCGAGAGCAAGCGGACCUCAUAAAGUGCGUCGUAGUCCGGAUUGGAGUCUGCAACUCGACUCCAUGAAGUCGGAAUCGCUAGUAAUCGUAGAUCAGAAUGCUACGGUGAAUACGUUCCCGGGCCUUGUACACACCGCCCGU
Molecule: ribosomal RNA, 893 nt
Filed under: uncultured bacterium
Lineage: Bacteria
Description: bacterial SSU rRNA
Rfam family: Bacterial small subunit ribosomal RNA
Source: RNAcentral